This is a ribosomal RNA of Mesocricetus auratus (golden hamster), 110 nucleotides long. The record is from Ensembl. Lineage: Eukaryota; Metazoa; Chordata; Mammalia; Rodentia; Cricetidae.
GUCUACGGCCAUACCACCCUGAACACGCCUGAUCUCGUCUGAUCUGGGAAGCUAAGCAGGGUCGGGCCUGGUUAGUACUUAGAUGGGAGAAGUACUGACUACAGAUGCUU